CCUACGGGAGGCAGCAGUAGGGAAUCUUCCACAAUGGGCGAAAGCCUGAUGGAGCAACGCCGCGUGGGUGAAGAAGGUCUUCGGAUCGUAAAACCCUGUUGUUAGAGAAGAAAGUGCGUGAGAGUAACUGUUCACGUGUCGACGGUAUCGAACCAGAAAGCGACGGCUAACUACGUGCCAGCAGCCGCGGUAAUACGUAGGUGGCAAGCGUUAUCCGGAUUUAUUGGGCGUAAAGGGAACGCAGGCGGUCUUUUAAGUCUGAGGUGAAAGCCUUCGGCUUAACCGGAGUAGUGCAUUGGAAACUGGGAGCCUUGAGUGCAGAAGAGGAGAGUGGAACUCCAUGUGUAGCGGUUACAUGCGUAGAUAUAUGGAAGACCCCCAGUGGCGCACGCGGCUCUCUGGUCUGUACCUGACGCUGAGGUUCGAAAGCGUGGGUAGCAAACAGGAUUAGCUACCCCAGUAGUC
This 465-nucleotide ribosomal RNA is filed under the name uncultured bacterium. Its description in RNAcentral is "partial 16S ribosomal RNA". It matches the Rfam family "Bacterial small subunit ribosomal RNA", at positions 338 to 795 of the family's 1533-position model. The record is from RNAcentral.